UACGUAGGGUGCAAGCGUUGUCCGGAAUUAUUGGGCGUAAAGAGCUCGUAGGCGGUUUGUCGCGUCUGCUGUGAAGAUCCCGAGGCUCAACCUCGGGCCUGCAGUGGGUACGGGCAAACUAGAGUGCGGUAGGGGAGAUUGGAAUUCCUGGUGUAGCGGUGGAAUGCGCAGAUAUCAGGAGGAACACCGAUGGCGAAGGCAGAUCUCUGGGCCGUAACUGACGCUGAGGAGCGAAAGCGUGGGGAGCGAACAGG
This 254-nucleotide ribosomal RNA is filed under the name uncultured bacterium. RNAcentral's name for it is "partial 16S ribosomal RNA". It matches the Rfam family "Bacterial small subunit ribosomal RNA", at positions 524 to 776 of the family's 1533-position model. The record is from RNAcentral.